Molecule: non-coding RNA, 74 nt
Organism: Podarcis lilfordi (Lilford's wall lizard)
Lineage: Eukaryota; Metazoa; Chordata; Lepidosauria; Squamata; Lacertidae
Source: the annotation of a GenBank genome assembly
GAAGGGCUACAGCUCAGCAGCAGAGCAUCAGCUUUGGAUGCAGAAGGUCUCAGGUUCAAUCCAUGGCAUCUUCA